RNAcentral lists this ribosomal RNA (477 nucleotides) under Triticum aestivum (bread wheat). RNAcentral's name for it is "partial small subunit ribosomal RNA". Lineage: Eukaryota; Viridiplantae; Streptophyta; Magnoliopsida; Poales; Poaceae. The record is from RNAcentral.
AUGGCGGCGAGCAAGGGAGCGAGGAAGAGCCUGGUGUCGAGGACCCUGGAGCGGUGCAGGUCCGGGCUGAACAGCGGCGGCAAGUCGUCGGCGGCGGUGGCGCCGGGGUGCUUCUCGGUGUACGUGGGCCCGGAGCGGGAGCGGUUCUUGGUGCGCGCCGACCGCGCCGACCACCCGCUCUUCCGCCGCCUCCUCGACGACGCCGAGCAGGAGUACGGCUACGCGGCGAAGGGGCCCCUCACGCUGCCCUGCUCCGUCGACGCCUUCCUCGACGUGCUCUGGCACAUGGACCACGACGUCCACGAUGACGACGACGGCGAGGUCGCCUCGGCGCCGACGACGCCGAUUUGCGGCCUACAGCGCGGCGGCAGCGGGAACAUCAAGGUCCGGCCUGCGGGGUACCGGGUGCUCAGCCCGGCCAAGUCCACGCCGGCGUCCUUCUUCUUCUCGCAGACGGCGGCUGGCGGUAGGUGGUGA